This 277-nucleotide small nuclear RNA is filed under the name Chinchilla lanigera (long-tailed chinchilla). RNAcentral describes it as "7SK RNA (ENSCLAG00000021644.1)". It matches the Rfam family "7SK RNA". Rfam says of the family: 7SK was discovered as an abundant small nuclear RNA in the mid-70s but a possible function has only recently been suggested. Two independent studies have found that 7SK RNA binds the CDK9/cyclin T complex (known as elongation factor P-TEFb). P-TEFb activates transcription by phosphorylating the C-terminal domain of RNA polymerase II. The record is from RNAcentral. Lineage: Eukaryota; Metazoa; Chordata; Mammalia; Rodentia; Chinchillidae.
GGAUGUGAGGGCAAUCUGGUUGCAACAUCUGUCUCCCCAUUGAUCGCCACGGUUGAUUUGACUGAUCUGGCUGGCUAAGCAGGUGUCCUCUUCCUCCCUCAACGGUCCAUGUGCGUCCCUCCCAAAGCUGUGCACUAUGUCGAAGAGGACCACCUCUGAUAGAGGAGGACCGUUCCUCGGUCAAAGGUAUAUGAGUAGCUGCACUCCCCUGCUAGAACCUCCAAACAAGCUCAGAAUCCAGAUACUGGAAAGUAAUUUGGCAAAGAAAAAAGAAAGG